Molecule: long non-coding RNA, 7911 nt
Organism: Gallus gallus (chicken)
Lineage: Eukaryota; Metazoa; Chordata; Aves; Galliformes; Phasianidae
Exons: 4
Source: RefSeq, a predicted model, not a curated record
CCUUGUCCUGCUGUUAUCUACCCUUGUAAAGAGUUGAUAUAUACCAUACCACAGUGUGUCAGGAGUACUGGGAAUUGGAUUUUGCAGGAUUCUGGAAUUGCUCACACUCUGGUAUUUUUUAGUAACUCCUUGAUUUUUAGUGGCAGUGAAAAUAUUGGAUGAAAAUACUGUUUGAGCUUCGCAAAGAAUGUUUCAAAGAGAGCCAUACAACUGCUACAGCCUGUUGCUCCUUUUAAAUCCUUCUUUUUUUCAUAGAGAUCAUAGCAUUUUGCUUGGAAAAAAAACUUAAUUGCUAAAUAUACUCCUCAGGUUUAUAUCAGUUGGGUAAAUUAUUAUAGCAAGCUGCCAUUUGUUUCCUGGGUUUAUUUUUCAUGUUAAAUGUAAAUUACUGCUUAGAUUGAUGGUGUCUUCCUGGCACCCUGUUCUUCACCGUCAACCUUAGGGCAGCCCUGGGAAUAUUGCUGCUGGUUACUGGUGCAUUUCCUGAUGUUCAGAUGUUUUGAGAACGACACUAAUCAGAACCGUGGCUCCCUUCCGUCAGACUCUUUCAUUUUUCAGGAGGUGAUCACAAAACACGCAGCAUGAUUGCUUUCGCCCCAGUGUUGCUAUUUAUUAGGAUUCUUUGUCUUUCCAUUUCAUGAAUGCUCUUCUUUUUCUCCCAGGUGGUGUUCAUAAAAUAAAAUGUGACUCUGCAGUGGGACUUUAGACCAUUUUCAAAUGGAAGCUCCUGCCACAAGCUGUGACUCUGGGGCAAUACUUUGGUCUGUACCCAGAAUGCAGAAGCCACGCUUACCGCUGGGGUCCCCUGUCUGGAUGGCCCAUCCCAACUCCAUGUAGGAGAACGCUUGGUGCCCACCCUGCCUUUCCCUUGCUGUCUCCUGCUUGACAUAGAACAGCAGUGUUCUCAGUGGGAGUAUGGACAGGACUUCCAGCAGCCAUGGAUCAAUCCUUUGGGGUCUGAAAAAACACAUUGGAAAACUCAGAGUGGUGCUGUCACGGACUAAUUAAAGGCUCUGUAGUAGAUAUAGUAGAAACCUACUGGUCAAAUUAAUUCACAUUUGGGUCAUUAACUUGACUGACGUCACAGCUCUGUGAGACCAAUUUGAAACACAUGACAAAGCUUUCAAUUGUUGGGAUGCUGAGAAAAAUGAGCUGAGAAACAGUGAGCCAGUGUCUGCCUACAGAGGAAACCCUACAGCUAGAGACCACGAAGAAAGAUCUAAACAACAGUACGCUGCUUUGAUAAGACACUUCUUCCUUAUCUCUAAUUUGGGUUAAAAAAAUAUAUCAGUGAAUAUAAUUAAUAGUUCUGUACGACCUCACCUGGAGUGCAGCAUAUGUUAAUAUAGAAGAGGGAAAGCAUGAGGUCCCCUCAUCUUGGAGCAGAGGGGCAGAACUUUAACAUGCAUGCAGCACUGAGAUCCACAAGUUUGGAGAGAGGAUGGGGGGAGCAGCAGCAGUGUCAAGUAUCUCAAGUAUCUUUCAGUAUCUAAAAAGAGGCUGUAAGAAGGAAUGGGACAUACUCUUUAGCAGGGGCUGCUGUGACAGCACAAGGGGAAAUGGUUUCAAACUAAAAGAGGGGAGAGUUAGACUGGAUAUAAGGAAAAAGAUUUUUACACUAAAAACAUUGAGGCACUGCACAGACUGCACAGAGAGGUGGUGGUGCCCCAUCCCUGCACACACCCAAGGUCAGGGGAUGGGCUGUGAGCAGUGAUGGAGCUGUGGGUAUCUCUGUGCACUGCAAGGAGUGGGACCAGAGGGCCUCUGUGGGUCCCUUCCAACCCAAACCAUUCUGUGGUCCUAUGAUUCAAGGCAUUGCCCUUCUGUGAAUACAGAGCAGGGCCUGGGGGGUGAUCUCAGUGCAGAAACCAAAAGGGUGGACCUGGGCUGUGAACACACCCUCAGUUAAGGCAUUUCUUGAUAUCCAGCUUGGCAGCAUUCAGACAGAAUUUGGGGACAGAUACCUGUCUGUGCAGCUCUGCCUGCAGCAGCCACUCCUGGGAAGGGAGCAGCCCUUACCAGGAACAUCACGGCUGAAUCUGGGCCACUGUUAUUUCCUAGCAAGAUGCCUAGCAUUAAUCAGCUGGUAUUUAAUUAAUAGAAAAGAUCAGUCUGAUUACAUUUCAAUUAAGCACAUGUUUGAAGCGGUGACAUUCUGGAUGCUGUUGGACAACCUUGCUGACCACACAGAUGGCAGGCAAUGAAAACAUUAGCCAAAUAUUUUCACUAUGACUGGUUGAACAAAAUCAAGUACAUCCAUUAUAAUGAGCCAUGUUAUCACGCAGCCCUCGGUGGUACAGCAAGCAGUGAAAUUACCACCAUAACAGAUUGCCACUCACUCUAACAUAUGCUGACUCUCCAACUUAUUCUGUAUUUCUGUACUCAAACAAAGAUAUACGGAUGAAUUAAGUUCUUUGAUCUGUAAUGAGUGCCAUGAAUCCACAGGUUCCCAAACAACAGCACGGAGAAUCCAGUAGCUAUUAUAUUAUUCAAAUAUGAUGUUUUUCCCCCCUCUCUCUGUAUUAGUGAAUUCUUAUUAAAAUACCUUUGCAGAGGAAAGUUAUUAAGGAGCCUGUUUGGUUAAUUCAUCAAUAAGAAAACAGUCACCAAAGAAAAGUCACCCUCGGUCCUUGGGUGCACAGACAUUCAUUCCAGUGACAAAACUUGAACAUAAUUACUUAGCUGUGUGAUGUGAUGGCUUUAUUAUAUGAAUCUGAAUUAAUCUGACUUUGAAAUGACAAAUUUCACAGCAGUUUAUUAGGAUGUGACUGCUAAAUGACUGAUAUGACAACGACACGUGUAGUAAUCAUAACCUACUAAUGCAGUUGUGCUUUUUAUCCCCCAGAUGUAGCCCUGACAAUGGUGCUUUAGCUGAUUCCAGGAAUCUAGGGAAAUUGCAUGAUAUUUUUUAUUAUAUUGCAUUAUAAAAAUACAUAAAAGCUCUUAUUUUAACACAGUAGACCCACAAUACACUGUACUGUAAAACCUCACUAGUGACUAUUGAUGUUGAAAGGACUGCCAUAGGGCUUUACAGUGUCAUUAAGCAAUAACAUUAGCAAAAUAAGACCCUGCACCAGCAGCAGGCUGGACCACUGGUAGGCACACGCAGAGCAAAGCCAUUUACUCCUGAAGAGAGCCAGAGCAUUGCUGCAGAAGGUUUUCCUGCUCCAUUCCCACUACCUGAGCUCUGCGUCUGGUGGAGACAUCCUUCCAAAAGGACGCACUGAACCAUCCCCAUCCUUUUGUCAUAGCCAACUUUACUGGGAAGAGGGAAGGUUGUGCAGUUCGAGGGAUUCAUUGCUCAUGAGGAAACAAAAAUAAUGAGAAUAAAAAGUCAGUCCACUGUCCUCCAGUAGGGCCUGGAGGACUCAGCAAACCCGGAGCCUCCCAAUUACUCUCUUCAAGUCCUUGUGCAUGCUGAAGAACUGUUUUAAAGCAGAGCCUGCAGGUAGGACAGGAGCAGUGCUCAGCCUCUUCCAACAGCAGAGAACUGCCUCUCUCUUUCAUCCCUUCCUCUGUAUGGCCCUCAUUCAAGGAUGCAGUUGGCUGAGGGGCCCCUUGGAGUACCAAUGAUGGCUUCAGAGGUGGAACAUGGAGACAUCUGCCUGGGAGCAUGGAGACAUCUACCAUGCCUUGAGCUAUGCCCUAUUCUUCACCUUGGCCAGCAUUGCUUCCUGCUUCACUUUUUUCAAGCACCGCAUUCUGGAAUUAACGUGGUGUUGGGUUGCAGCCUGAUGGAGUAGGGAUCCACUGGCACAGCCCAUUGGGCAUCACUAGAGCUUUGCAGUAACUAAAAGAAAGCUUCUGGAUUGAGUAGAUGCAAAACCUCUUAAAAACCAGGUCUACUUCAGGGGAAUUAGUUCUAUAUUUAGCUGAAAUUUCCACUGCUGCUGUACCUGUAAAAGAGCGUUAGUAUCCUCAUUAUUCAAUUAGACAGAUACACUGGCAAUAAAAUAUUCCUUUUUUUUUUUUUUUUUUUUUUUUUUUGCAGCAGAAGCUGAAUGAUAUUUCCUUGAAUACCUGCAGACAUAAUCCCUAAUUGUUGCCUCAUAUAUCUUAACUGUAUUAUUUUUUAUUUCCAAGUGUAAAUAAAUGUACUGCUCGGGAUGAUCAUAUUUCACACCAAUUUAUUUGAAUGACAUUAAUGAGUUCUCCCUACCAGUGAGACCUUGGAGAGCUAGACUGUGUUUUGCUACCCACCAUCAUAUAUUAAAACUAAGUAAAUAAAUAAAAAUCAGCUAUGGGUAUGCCUGAAAGGAUUCAUUUUUUGGUGAGAGCUAUUUGUAUUCCUCAGUUAUGAGCCCAUGGUAACAUUAACAAAACAAUCAUCAUCAUAAUAAUUUCAUUAAAAUUCUGGAGACUUGGAAGUGCUCCUGAUGCAUGUGAAGGUCACAGCUGCUAAUAGGCCACAUUUUGCAGUUGGAAGUACUCCACAGGUAUGGUACAUUUAAUGUUGUAAUUCUGGGAGGCACAGAGAGUGGCGUUUGGUUAGAUUCAAAAAAAGGAACUAUGUUGAAAGGGGGAAGAUACGUUUGCUAUGCUUAGUAUUAAAAAUCUAUCUUUGUUCCUUGCCUGAAGACCAAAGUCACAUUCAUGUUAACUGUAACUUCUUAAUAGAAAUGUCUCAGCAGAGUUCCUGUCACAUUUGACUCCCAGUUUACACCAUUUCCUCAAAACUACAUCUGGAAAUCACCACUUUUCAGCCUCUACAAUUAACAGGUUUUUUUCUCCAUGCCGGGAAAAGCCAUCUCCAGGGCUACAUGCACUUCCUUGUCUUCCUUCUGCUGAUACUUCAGCUCUCACCUCAGUCCUGGAGCAGGGGCAUGACACCAAGCAAACCAAGGGUUGUGUGCAAGUAACAGCACCAACAUUAUGAGCUGUUGUAUGGAAGCAGAGGAGUCUGAAUAUAAGGAAAAAGACUGAAUAUAAAGAAAAAGUUUUCACAACAAGGGUGGUAAAGCAGUGGCACAGGUUACCCAGAGAGGUGGUGUCCCAUCCCUGCACACACCCGAGGUCAGGGGAUGGGCUCUGAGCACUGAUGGAGCUGUGGGUGUCCCUGUGCACUGCAGAGGAGUGGGACUAGUUGGCCUUUGAGGGUCCCUUCCAACUCAAAUCAUUCUGUGAUUCUAUGAUUCUGUUCUAUCCUGGCAGAGUUUCUCUGCAGUGACUCCAGGUAAGAGUGAUCUAGGAACUGGAUGGGACAGCAAUGGAGAUGCACGAUGGGGUUCACUUUCUAUGUUGCUUUCAGUGGUAUUUGAGGCUGUUGUUGCAGAAUCAUGCAUUUUUAUGUGCAUGAAGGCCAGAUCUCAGAGGUCUCUGUUGGAGAGGCUAAGACAGCAAGGGUGAACUGAGAUCUGAAAGGGACUUUUCCUUCCACUUUACAUAUGGCCAAAAGCACAGUUGGUCAUAGCUGAAAAAGCCUUGGGUGCUGAAAUGAAGCGUGGUCACCUUCCUUUUUUUGCCAGCUGCACUGCCCUUUCUCAAAGGGGUGUCGGGAUAAGAGCAUAUGAUGGAAGGUAUCUUUAUGUGGUACUAAUGAAAGCCUGUAAUGACCACUGAUGAGAUGUUAUCAUAGAAAAGAAUCAUAGAAUGGCCUGGGUUGAAAAGGACCAUAAUGCUCAUCUAGUUUCAACCCCCCUGCCACGGGCAGGGUCGCCAACCAGCAGACCAGGCUGCCCAGAGCCACAUCCAGCCUGGCCUUGAAUGCAUCCAGAGAUGGGGCAUCUGUUGGCACAGACCACAUGGGGAACAUUGGCACUGAAGCCUGGAGAUCUUGUUUGCCCACAUGUACGGUAUCGCCCAGCCUUGUGGUACCCACCAAGAUCCCUCAGUAGAAGCAGAAAACCAUUCUCGCAGAUUAGUCCUUCAUUUAGGGACGUGAAAGGUUUUUCCCCUAAUGCUAUUUGUCAGCAGCAUUUCCACAGGGCAUCUGCAUCAACAUUCCUGUGCCACAAGCCUGCCUGCUGAAGCAUAGUAUAUUCUGCACUUUAUAUUCAUGGCAGCUGAGUGAUUCUCCUUCCUUUGAGUGGCAUACUGCCACCCAUACAUUACAGAGAGAGCAAAACUCUGCAGAGUCAUUGAAGCUAACCAUACAUUACAUGCAUGAUGGGCUUACCAGAUGUCAUUCCUUACAUUGUUAUGGUUUCAUAAACUACACCGACAUUGUCAUUAUGCUCAAAAAUUUGAUCCCACUCUUCUAUUCUUGAAAUGGAUGAUUCUGAAGGUUGUUACAUUAACAAAUAGGAGUUUGCAGGAAGGUAGAUUUGCAACAGGAGUUUGUGAAUGACUGGGUUAUAACAUUUGCUGGAAAACGGCAUGACAAUUGAUUCAUUGCUGGAGACAGUAACAAAAAGGCAAUGCAAAUUGAAAGGUUAGAGGAGCCAUAAAGCUUUAAGAAAAGAUUUAUUACAGUAGGUGGACAUAUUUUGCUCAGGAACUGAAAUUGCAGCCAUCUUCCCUGUAUUUAUGAGGCAUUUAAUUAAUCAGUCAUAAUAAGUACGUUAAAAACUAAAUCUCUCCUAUUAAGAUCUACAUUCAUCUUGAUGCCUUCUCCAUUAUGACUUGUUUUGUGAUAGCAGACAAAUUCACUUCAGGUACAUGAAGAGGGAUGAACCCUCUUCAGCAGAGCUUGCAACCAAGAGUGCCCACAACCUGAGCAAAGGGCAAAACACACAACAAAGAAGGGAUACACUUAGAAGACACAGGAAAAGGCUGUGCUUCCAUAUCAACAUGGAAGGAGCUCUGGAGGUGUUGUCUGGGGGAGCAGAUUGGCGUGAACACAGGGUUGCUUUUCACCAGGAGCAGUGAAUUGGCAGCAGGGAGAUGGAGAGGCUGACAGGCACUGCAGACACCUGCAGCAGGGAGCUCAGCCUUGCUCCAGUUUCCAACGGCACGUGGCAGAAAUGUCCAUCACCUCCCUGAGACCUCCGUGCAAACUGGAGCGAGUCAGCAUCUCUAAAAUAAGACUGGGAUGCCUGCAGGCAAUGGGCAAAUGCUGAGCCAGGGACAGCUCUUUGUCUUUAAAAAGCACAUUGAUUUUUGCAGGCCCAUCUCCAUAUACACAACUGGGGGAUUUGGCCUUGUGCCUUUCUAGGAGGAGAAGUGCCGUGUAUUUUGGGUUAAUUUCUUUCUUUUUCAACAGGCUUCCUCCGUCUCUCGUCUCACAGUGAACACACAGAGGACUGCGACAAGAAACGCAGAGACAAUAGCGGACCCCAACAGCAUACAUUAUUAACAAUGUCUGCAUUCCUUAGUGUCCUUGCUGCUAAAAUUAACACAGCCCGUGUGGCAUCCUGCCAGAGCGAGCACAGUGCACGUCAUAAACAAUACAGGGAAGGAGAUGUUUUCCAUCAGACAUCUAUAAGCGAUUUCCUUCUACCCUGAAGACAUAAAGAUGUGUAGAGGACCAUUAAUAGGAAUGGAUGUGCUCGAGCAGAAGAUCGUGGGAAGCCACCCUUCAGAUUGCUGUGCUACAUGCUGAUGAGUCAAUCUGUUGCACUGGAUGUCUUCGGAGAAGGACAGAAAUAACGAUCCUACUGUCCUGUGAAGAGCUGGAGAGGAAAUGUCAGCCAACAGCAUAUGCAAGUUCCCCAAAGCAGCAUCUCUGGAGCAGUCAGUAAUGGAGAUGGAGGAAACGUGAAGCUUGGAGAGAAAAGUCUCUCUGAAUAACUACUACUAACAUGGAAGAUAAAGAAAUCAGAGUGAUCCAUGUUCAGGGAAGGACCAAUGUGAGAGGUGUGUAUGGUGGUGGAAAAGUAUGAGUGUUACAGGAAGGACAGAGAAAUCUGAACAUCUGCUUGCACUGAUAAUGCUGAAAGACAACAAGUUGUCUCUUGAAUUUUCUCAAGGGAGUUUUCUUUGUAUUCUGUGUAUUCUUGUGUGCAGAUAAAAGAAUAAACAAGGUCAAGAAGA